This 467-nucleotide ribosomal RNA is filed under the name uncultured bacterium. RNAcentral's name for it is "partial 16S ribosomal RNA". It matches the Rfam family "Bacterial small subunit ribosomal RNA", at positions 28 to 507 of the family's 1533-position model. The record is from RNAcentral.
GACGAACGCUGGCGGCGUGCUUAACACAUGCAAGUCGAACGGAAAGGCCCUGCUUUUGUGGGGUGCUCGAGUGGCGAACGGGUGAGUAACACGUGAGUAACCUGCCCUUGACUUUGGGAUAACUUCAGGAAACUGGGGCUAAUACCGGAUAGGAGCUCCUGCUGCAUGGUGGGGGUUGGAAAGUUUCGGCGGUUGGGGAUGGACUCGCGGCUUAUCAGCUUGUUGGUGGGGUAGUGGCUUACCAAGGCUUUGACGGGUAGCCGGCCUGAGAGGGUGACCGGCCACAUUGGGACUGAGAUACGGCCCAGACUCCUAGGGAGGCAGCAGUGGGGAAUAUUGCACAAUGGGCGGAAGCCUGAUGCAGCAACGCCGCGUGCGGGAUGACGGCCUUCGGGUUGUAAACCGCUUUCGCCUGUGACGAAGCGUGAGUGACGGCAAUGGGUAAAGAAGCACCGGCUAACUACGUG